This 405-nucleotide long non-coding RNA is filed under the name Lepisosteus oculatus (spotted gar). RNAcentral's name for it is "lncRNA (ENSLOCG00000022240.1)". The record is from RNAcentral. Lineage: Eukaryota; Metazoa; Chordata; Actinopteri; Semionotiformes; Lepisosteidae.
ACUUGUCCGCUUGUUUUACUUUUUGACACAUCUAAUUAUAUCCAGUUAUAUAACAAAAGAGUUAUGUAACAAAUCAGUUUUCAGAUUGAUCCUAUUCAAAAACCUUGCCAUUGUUUUCAGAUUUUCUUUUUGAAGAAAGGAAGCCAUUCAGAUUGUUGCCACCGUCUAGGAGACUGAUCCAAGAGCACUAUUGCAACACUGUCCUUCACCUUUCCAGAUCAGGAUCUUGUCCUUUUCCCUGCCACUUUUCCCCAGGAUCCAGAAGUUACAUCAUGCUGCCAGCGGAUGUGGAGCUGAAGUGGAGAGAGCACCUCAAAGAUCAAAAAAGGCAUACCGUGUGCUCCUGGAUCUCCGGUGGUCUGCAGGGCUAUAUGUGGCAUAGUCAGCUAUGCCCCUAGAAUCUGG